RNAcentral lists this ribosomal RNA (519 nucleotides) under uncultured bacterium. RNAcentral describes it as "bacterial SSU rRNA". It matches the Rfam family "Bacterial small subunit ribosomal RNA", at positions 8 to 518 of the family's 1533-position model. The record is from RNAcentral.
AGAGUUUGAUUAUGGCUCAGGAUGAACGCUAGCUACAGGCUUAACACAUGCAAGUCGAGGGGCAGCAUUGGAGUAGCAAUACUCAGAUGGCGACCGGCGCACGGGUGAGUAACACGUAUCCAACCUGCCGCUUACUCGGGGAUAGCCUUUCGAAAGAAAGAUUAAUACCCGAUGGUAUAAAGAGUUCGCAUGUUCUCUUUAUUAAAGAAUUUCGGUAAGCGAUGGGGAUGCGUUCCAUUAGAUAGUUGGCGGGGUAACGGCCCACCAAGUCUACAAUGGAUAGGGGUUCUGAGAGGAAGGUCCCCCACAUUGGAACUGAGACACGGUCCAAACUCCUACGGGAGGCAGCAGUGAGGAAUAUUGGUCAAUGGACGAGAGUCUGAACCAGCCAAAAGUAGCGUGAAGGAUGACUGCCCUAUGGGUUGUAAACUUCUUUUAUAAGGGAAUAAAGUGAGGGACGUGUCCCUUUUUGUAUGUACCUUAUGAAUAAGGAUCGGCUAACUCCGUGCCAGCCGCCGC